Molecule: long non-coding RNA, 345 nt
Filed under: Rattus norvegicus (Norway rat)
Lineage: Eukaryota; Metazoa; Chordata; Mammalia; Rodentia; Muridae
Description: long non-coding RNA NONRATT020202
Source: RNAcentral
GUUGACCUGUUUGGACUCGUGAUGCUGAUACUGAUUGUAGUAUUAGUAAUAGCGUUCUUCUGGUAUUGCCUCGCCUACUACUUCUACAUGCAAGAGCGGAUGGCCUUUUAUUAUGCACGAAAUGGACAAGUUCCCGAUUACAACUGGAAUGCUACCGGGUAUUACUGAUAAAUAGCUGACAAGGCAGAUCUUCCACAGGGCGAAGGUGAAUGUUCUUCCAUGAUGUGUCAAUGAUGGAUGCGUAUGUAUUCAUGGUUCUUACAUUUUCCUGGUGAAUUAACUCUUUUGUCACUAGAUAGUUACCAUAAAAGGACACUAAUAAAGAUAACAUCGAUUAUCAUGAAA